This 70-nucleotide transfer RNA is filed under the name Onthophagus yukae. RNAcentral's name for it is "tRNA-Met". It matches the Rfam family "tRNA". From Rfam's summary of the family: Transfer RNA (tRNA) molecules are approximately 80 nucleotides in length. Their secondary structure includes four short double-helical elements and three loops (D, anti-codon, and T loops). Further hydrogen bonds mediate the characteristic L-shaped molecular structure. tRNAs have two regions of fundamental functional importance: the anti-codon, which is responsible for specific mRNA codon recognition, and the 3' end, to which the tRNAs corresponding amino acid is attached (by aminoacyl-tRNA synthetases). tRNAs cope with the degeneracy of the genetic code in two manners: having more than one tRNA (with a specific anti-codon) for a particular amino acid; and 'wobble' base-pairing, i.e. permitting non-standard base-pairing at the 3rd anti-codon position. The record is from RNAcentral. Lineage: Eukaryota; Metazoa; Arthropoda; Insecta; Coleoptera; Scarabaeidae.
GAAAAGAUAAGCUAAUUUAAACUACUGGGUUCAUACCCCAAUUAUAGAGGUAAAACUCCUCUUCUUUUCA